GGACUACCAGGGUUUCUAAUCCCGUUCGCUCCCCUGGCUUUCGCGUCUCAGCGUCAGUAAGAGCCCAGGACCUCGCUUUCGCCACGGGCGUUCCUUCCGAUCUCAACGCAUUUCACCGCUCCACCGGAAGUUCCAGGUCCCCCUACUCCCCUCCAGGCUGCUCGUAUCGGUGCCCGUUCCCCGGUUGAGCCGGGGGAUUUCAGCGCCCGACGUGACAGCCCGCCUACACGCGCUUUAAGCCCAGUGAUUCCGAAUAACGUUCGCACGGUUCGUCUUACCGCGGCGGCUGGCAC
This 293-nucleotide ribosomal RNA is filed under the name uncultured bacterium. RNAcentral describes it as "partial 16S ribosomal RNA". The record is from RNAcentral. RNAcentral also lists the same sequence under 2 other names.